AACGAACGCUGGUGGCAUGCCUAACACAUGCAAGUCGAACGAGACCUUCGGGUCUAGUGGCGCACGGGUGCGUAACGCGUGGGAACCUGCCCUUAGGUUCGGAAUAACUCCCCGAAAGGGGUGCUAAUACCGGAUAAUGUCUUCGGACCAAAGAUUUAUCGCCUUUGGAUGGGCCCGCGUUGGAUUAGCUAGUUGGUAGGGUAAAAGCCUACCAAGGCGACGAUCCAUAGCUGGUCUGAGAGGAAGAUCAGCCACACUGGGACUGAGACGCGGCCCAGACUCCUACGGGAGGCAGGAGUGGGGAAUAUUGGACAAUGGGCGGAAGCCUGAUCCAGCAAGGCCGGUAGAGUGAUGAAGGCCUUAGAGUUGUAAAGCUCUUUUACCCGGGAUGAUAAUGACAGUACCGGGAGAAUAAGCUCCGGCUAACUCCGUG
This 433-nucleotide ribosomal RNA is filed under the name uncultured bacterium. RNAcentral describes it as "partial 16S ribosomal RNA". It matches the Rfam family "Bacterial small subunit ribosomal RNA", at positions 29 to 507 of the family's 1533-position model. The record is from RNAcentral.